Ectocarpus siliculosus is the source of this 74-nucleotide non-coding RNA. The record is from Rfam. Lineage: Eukaryota; Phaeophyceae; Ectocarpales; Ectocarpaceae.
GGGCUGGUAGCUCAGGGGACUAGAGCACGUGGCUACGAACCACGGUGUCGGGGGUUCGAUUCCCUCCUAGCUCA